CGAACGCUAGCGGCGAGCUUAACACAUGCAAGUCGAACGCGAACCUUCGGGUUCGAGUGGCGAACGGGUGAGUAACACGUGGGUUACCUGCCCCGAGGUGGGGAACAACCAAGGGAAACUUUGGCUAAUUCCGCAUGCGGUCUACGGAUCAAAGCCUUCGGGCGCCUUGGGAUGGGCCCGCGGCCCAUUAUUUAAUCCUUGUUGGUGGGGUAACGGCCUACCAAGGGUACGAUGGGUAGCUGGUCUGAGAGGAUGAUCAGCCACACUGGGACUGAGACACGGCCCAGACUCCUACGGGAGGCAGCAGUGGGGAAUAUUGCGCAAUGGACGAAAGUCUGACGCAGCUACGCCGCGUGGGUGAUGAAGGCCUUCGGGUCGUAAAGCCCUGUCGGUGGGGAAGAAUCAAAUGACGGUACCCACCAAGAAAGCACCGGCUAACUCC
This 442-nucleotide ribosomal RNA is filed under the name uncultured bacterium. Its description in RNAcentral is "bacterial SSU rRNA". It matches the Rfam family "Bacterial small subunit ribosomal RNA", at positions 30 to 504 of the family's 1533-position model. The record is from RNAcentral.